UCUAAGUGCAUCUGUAAGUUUCCGUGUUCAACUUUGAUCAUCCAUCUUAUUUAAAAUUUUUUAUGACUAAUAUUUUUAUUGUUAUUAGAUGAUGAAAAUGAAUAGUACUUUAUGCGUGACUUAUGUUUUUUUAAUUUUUUUAAAUAAGAUGAACGCGGACACGGAAAUUCAUGGUUAGGUUUAAA
This is a non-coding RNA of Oryza punctata, 185 nucleotides long. The record is from Rfam. NCBI's taxonomy places the organism in Eukaryota, Viridiplantae, Streptophyta, Magnoliopsida, Poales, Poaceae.